UUUUACAAAAGAAAAGAAAAAUAUCAAUCGAUGGUGCAAAUGGUAAGAAAUUUGCUCAACAAAUGGAAGAGCUUUCGACGGUCACAUUCUCCUGGCGAGAGACGUCGCAACGCGGACGACGCCUGCGCGAAAAUAACGAACGAUUUCGUUUUGGUUUCCGUGGCAGCCCUCGAUAAUUGGUGAAUGGCUCGAUAGAUACACGCAAUCCUUGGUAAUCGUGAAAUUGCAUGCAGGAAGAUUUUUAAAUAUUCAAAUCCACUCGGCCAUUAAUCAAUGUCAACCCUUAUUAUUCGAUUCUAUCAGUUGUAGACAAUAAACUUUAUACUGAGAUAAUAAAUUUCACCGGGCCAACAGAUUAAUC
Molecule: unclassified non-coding RNA, 361 nt
Filed under: Bombus terrestris (buff-tailed bumblebee)
Lineage: Eukaryota; Metazoa; Arthropoda; Insecta; Hymenoptera; Apidae
Description: misc RNA ENSBTSG00005019874.1
Source: RNAcentral